RNAcentral lists this ribosomal RNA (250 nucleotides) under uncultured bacterium. RNAcentral's name for it is "partial 16S ribosomal RNA". It matches the Rfam family "Bacterial small subunit ribosomal RNA", at positions 524 to 773 of the family's 1533-position model. The record is from RNAcentral.
UACGUAGGGGGCCAGCGUUGUCCGGAAUUACUGGGCGUAAAGCGCACGCAGGCGGUUUGGAAAGCGGCGGGUGCAAAACCGGGGCUCAACUCCGGCACCGCUCGCCGAACUACCAGACUGGAGCACGGGAGAGGGCAGUGGAAUUCCCGGUGUAGCGGUGGAAUGCGUAAAUAUCGGGAGGAACACCAGUGGCGAAGGCUGCUGCCUGGAACGUUGCUGACGCUGAGGUGCGAAAGCCAGGGGAGCGAAC